UACGUAGGGGGGCAAGCGUUGUCCGGAUUUAUUGGGCGUAAAGAGCGUGUAGGCGGCCAGACAGGUCCGUUGUGAAAACUCGAGCUCAACCUCGAGACGCCGAUGGAAACCGUUUGGCUAGAGUCCGGAAGAGGAGAGUGGAAUUCCUGGUGUAGCGGUGAAAUGCGCAGAUAUCAGGAAGAACACCCGUGGCUAAGGCGGCUCUCUAGUACGGUACUGACGCUGAGACGCGAAAGCGUGGGGAGCGAACAGG
RNAcentral lists this ribosomal RNA (253 nucleotides) under uncultured bacterium. RNAcentral describes it as "partial 16S ribosomal RNA". It matches the Rfam family "Bacterial small subunit ribosomal RNA", at positions 524 to 776 of the family's 1533-position model. The record is from RNAcentral.